RNAcentral lists this ribosomal RNA (840 nucleotides) under uncultured bacterium. RNAcentral's name for it is "bacterial SSU rRNA". It matches the Rfam family "Bacterial small subunit ribosomal RNA", at positions 59 to 881 of the family's 1533-position model. The record is from RNAcentral.
CAGUCGAGGGGCAGCGGGGCGGCAGGCUUGCCUGCCGUUGCCGGCGACCGGCGCACGGGUGAGUAACACGUAUGCAACCUGCCCGUGGCAGGGGGAUAAGCGGGGGAAACCCCGUCUAAUACCGCGUAACGCGGCCUAGGGACAUCCCAAGGCCGCCAAAGGGAGCAAUCCCGGCCACGGAUGGGCAUGCGGCGCAUUAGCUAGUCGGCGGGGUAACGGCCCACCGAGGCGACGAUGCGUAGGGGUUCUGAGAGGAAGGCCCCCCACACUGGUACUGAGACACGGACCAGACUCCUACGGGAGGCAGCAGUGAGGAAUAUUGGUCAAUGGGCGCGAGCCUGAACCAGCCAAGUCGCGUGAGGGAGGACGGCCCUACGGGUUGUAAACCUCUUUUGCCGGGGAGCAACGGGCGCCACGUGUGGCGCCACUGAGAGUACCCGGAGAAAAAGCAUCGGCUAACUCCGUGCCAGCAGCCGCGGUAAUACGGAGGAUGCGAGCGUUAUCCGGAUUUAUUGGGUUUAAAGGGUGCGUAGGCGGAUCGUUAAGUCAGUGGUCAAAUUGAGGGGCUCAACCCCUUCCCGCCAUUGAAACUGGCGAUCUUGAGUGGAAGAGAAGUAUGCGGAAUGCGUGGUGUAGCGGUGAAAUGCAUAGAUAUCACGCAGAACCCCGAUUGCGAAGGCAGCAUGCCGGCUUCCUACUGACGCUGAAGCACGAAAGCGUGGGGAUCGAACAGGAUUAGAUACCCUGGUAGUCCACGCGGUAAACGAUGAGCGCUAGGUGUCCGGGGGGAAUGGCCCCUGGGCGCCACAGCGAAAGCGUUAAGCACUCCACCUGGGGAGU